AUCUAACUGACGAGUCCAAAAUGGGAAGAAAUCCACAUCCUGGAU
Molecule: non-coding RNA, 45 nt
Filed under: Trichobilharzia regenti
Lineage: Eukaryota; Metazoa; Platyhelminthes; Trematoda; Strigeidida; Schistosomatidae
Source: RNAcentral